UCCUCGGUAGCUCAACGGUGGAGCGACCGGCUGUUAACCGGUAGGUUGCUGGUUCGAAUCCAGCCCGGGGAGCCA
RNAcentral lists this transfer RNA (75 nucleotides) under Bacillota bacterium. Its description in RNAcentral is "Firmicutes bacterium (anaerobic digester metagenome) tRNA-Asn". It matches the Rfam family "tRNA". From Rfam's summary of the family: Transfer RNA (tRNA) molecules are approximately 80 nucleotides in length. Their secondary structure includes four short double-helical elements and three loops (D, anti-codon, and T loops). Further hydrogen bonds mediate the characteristic L-shaped molecular structure. tRNAs have two regions of fundamental functional importance: the anti-codon, which is responsible for specific mRNA codon recognition, and the 3' end, to which the tRNAs corresponding amino acid is attached (by aminoacyl-tRNA synthetases). tRNAs cope with the degeneracy of the genetic code in two manners: having more than one tRNA (with a specific anti-codon) for a particular amino acid; and 'wobble' base-pairing, i.e. permitting non-standard base-pairing at the 3rd anti-codon position. Lineage: Bacteria; Bacillati; Bacillota. The record is from RNAcentral.